RNAcentral lists this ribosomal RNA (445 nucleotides) under uncultured bacterium. RNAcentral's name for it is "partial 16S ribosomal RNA". It matches the Rfam family "Bacterial small subunit ribosomal RNA", at positions 354 to 796 of the family's 1533-position model. The record is from RNAcentral.
GUGAGGAAUAUUGGUCAAUGGGCGAGAGCCUGAACCAGCCAAGUCGCGUGAAGGAUGAAGGUUUUAUGAAUUGUAAACUUCUUUUGCAGGGGAAUAAAGUACGGUACGUGUACCGUUUUGUAUGUACUAUGCGAAUAAGGAUCGGCUAACUCAGUGCCAGCCGCCGCGGUAAUACGGAGGAUCCAAGCGUUAUCCGGCUUUACUGGGUUUAAAGGGUGCGCAGGCGGGUUGAUAAGUCAGCGGUGAAGGUUUGCAGCUUAACUGUAAAAUUGCCGUUGAGACUGUCGAUCUUGAGUGCAAAUGAGGUAAGCAGAAUGUGUUGUGUAGCGGUUAAAUGCUUAGAUAUAACACAGAACACCGAUUGCGAAGGCAGCUUACUGGGAUGCAACUGACGCUCAUACACGAAAGCGUGGGGAUCAAACAGGAUUAGAUACCCGUGUAGUCC